GAUGAACGCUGGCGGCGUGCCUAAUACAUGCAAGUCGAGCGAACAGACGAGGAGCUUGCUCCUCUGACGUUAGCGGCGGACGGGUGAGUAACACGUGGAUAACCUACCUAUAAGACUGCGAUAACUUCGGGAAACCGGAGCUAAUACCGGAUAAUAUAUUGAACCGCAUGGUUCAAUAGUGAAAGACGGUUUUGCUGUCACUUAUAGAUGGAUCCGCGCCGCAUUAGCUAGUUGGUAAGGUAACGGCUUACCAAGGCGACGAUGCGUAGCCGACCUGAGAGGGUGAUCGGCCACACUGGAACUGAGACACGGUCCAGACUCCUACGGGAGGCAGCAGUAGGGAAUCUUCCGCAAUGGGCGAAAGCCUGACGGAGCAACGCCGCGUGAGUGAUGAAGGUCUUCGGAUCGUAAAACUCUGUUAUUAGGGAAGAACAAAUGUGUAAGUAACUAUGCACGUCUUGACGGUACCUAAUCAGAAAGCCACGGCUAACUACGUG
RNAcentral lists this ribosomal RNA (497 nucleotides) under uncultured bacterium. RNAcentral's name for it is "partial 16S ribosomal RNA". It matches the Rfam family "Bacterial small subunit ribosomal RNA", at positions 28 to 507 of the family's 1533-position model. The record is from RNAcentral.